AAAAAAGUUUAACGCAGUCAGCAGGAUUCGAACCUACGCGGGCAGAGCCCAAUUGAUUUCUAGUCAAUCUCCUUAACCACUCGGACAUGACUGCUG
RNAcentral lists this transfer RNA (96 nucleotides) under Caenorhabditis elegans. Its description in RNAcentral is "Unclassified non-coding RNA Y73F8A.1171". The record is from RNAcentral. Lineage: Eukaryota; Metazoa; Nematoda; Chromadorea; Rhabditida; Rhabditidae.